RNAcentral lists this ribosomal RNA (775 nucleotides) under uncultured Neocallimastigales. RNAcentral describes it as "partial large subunit ribosomal RNA". It matches the Rfam family "Eukaryotic large subunit ribosomal RNA", at positions 23 to 620 of the family's 3401-position model. The record is from RNAcentral. Lineage: Eukaryota; Fungi; Neocallimastigomycota; Neocallimastigomycetes; Neocallimastigales.
AGAGAGAGACAUGCGCGCAUAUCAAUAAGCGGAGGAAAAGAAACUAACUAGGAUUCCCUCAGUAACGGCGAGUGAAGCGGGAAGAGCUCAAAUUUGAAAUCUUCAAGGUUCUACCUUGACGAAUUGUAGUUUAAAGAAGUGUUUUCUGUUGAAGUUUUGGUAAAAGUUCUUUGGAAUAGGACAUCAUAGAGGGUGAGAAUCCCGUAUUUGACCAUUAUUUUCAGCUUUGUGAUACACUUUCAAAGAGUCGGAUUGUUUGGGAAUGCAGUCCAAAAUGGGUGGUAAAUUUCAUCUAAAGCUAAAUAUUGGCGAGAGACGGAUAGCGAACAAGUACCGUGAGGGAAAGAUGAAAAGAACUUUGAAAAGAGAGUUAAACAGUACGUGAAAUUGUCAAAAGGGAAGCGUUUGACACCAGUGUUGUUUUCUCGAAAAUCAAUUAAAAAUGGCUCGAUUUUGUAUUGCUUGAGACCUUAAAAGCUCACUGUACAUUUUUCGUGUCUUUUUUAAUGCACUUUUCGUUUAACAAGUCAACAUCAGUUUCUUUUGUUGUAAAAGGGUCAUUGGAAGGUGGCUUUCUUUUCGGAGAAAGUGUUUAUAGCCUUUGGCCUCUGCAAUCGGAGAGACUGAGGUCUGCAGCGUAGACUCUUCGGGGUUAGAUACAUUUGUGCUAAGUUAUAGCUUUUUAUAGACAACUUGUUGACUAUAAUUAGUCUUGUAGCUUACUCGCUUAUGCUAUUUUACCUACGCUUAGGAUGUUGAAGAUGUAGCACAUCAU